AGCGAACGCUGGCGGCAGGCCUAACACAUGCAAGUCGAACGAACCUUUCGGGGGUAGUGGCGGACGGGGGAGGAACACGUGGGAACGUGCAUAUAGGGUCGGAAUAACUCAGGGAAACGUGUGCUAAUACCGAAUGGGCCCUUCGGGGGGAAGAUUUAUCGCCUUUAGAGCGGCCCGCGUCUGAUUAGCUAGUUGGGUGAGGUAAUGGCUCACCAAGGCGACGAUCAGUAGCUGGUCUGAGAGGCUGAUCAGCCACAUUGGGACUGUGACACGGCCCAGACUCCUACGGGAGGCAGCAGUGGGGAAUCUUGCGCAAUGGGCGAAAGCCUGACGCAGCCAUGCCGCGUGAAUGAUGAAGGUCUUAGGAUUGUAAAAUUCUUUCACCGGGGACGAUAAUGACGGUACCCGGAGAAGAAGCCCCGGCUAACUUCGUG
RNAcentral lists this ribosomal RNA (434 nucleotides) under uncultured bacterium. RNAcentral's name for it is "partial 16S ribosomal RNA". It matches the Rfam family "Bacterial small subunit ribosomal RNA", at positions 29 to 507 of the family's 1533-position model. The record is from RNAcentral.